RNAcentral lists this ribosomal RNA (253 nucleotides) under uncultured bacterium. Its description in RNAcentral is "partial 16S ribosomal RNA". It matches the Rfam family "Bacterial small subunit ribosomal RNA", at positions 525 to 776 of the family's 1533-position model. The record is from RNAcentral.
ACGGAGGGUGCGAGCGUUAUUCGGAUUUAUUGGGCGUAAAGGGCGCGUAGGCGGCCGUGUAAGUCUGGUGUGAAAACGCUACCGCUCAACGGAGCGACUGCAUCGGAUACUGCAUGGCUUGAGUGCGGGAGAGGUGAGUGGAAUGAGUGGUGUAGCGGUGGAAUGCGUAGAUAUCACUCGGAACACCAGUGGCGAAGGCGGCUCACUGGCCCGCAACUGACGCUGAGGCGCGAAAGCGUGGGGAGCAAACGGG